RNAcentral lists this transfer RNA (77 nucleotides) under Candidatus Thorarchaeota archaeon. RNAcentral's name for it is "tRNA-Gly". It matches the Rfam family "tRNA". Rfam says of the family: Transfer RNA (tRNA) molecules are approximately 80 nucleotides in length. Their secondary structure includes four short double-helical elements and three loops (D, anti-codon, and T loops). The record is from RNAcentral. Lineage: Archaea; Promethearchaeati; Candidatus Thorarchaeota.
GCGUCCGUAGUGUUUAACGGCUAGCACGUUAGGUUUCCAACCUGAAAGAGAGGGCUCGAAUCCCUCCGGACGCUCCA